RNAcentral lists this ribosomal RNA (2902 nucleotides) under Shigella flexneri K-218. RNAcentral's name for it is "bacterial LSU rRNA". It matches the Rfam family "Bacterial large subunit ribosomal RNA". Lineage: Bacteria; Pseudomonadati; Pseudomonadota; Gammaproteobacteria; Enterobacterales; Enterobacteriaceae. The record is from RNAcentral.
UUAAGCGACUAAGCGUACACGGUGGAUGCCCUGGCAGUCAGAGGCGAUGAAGGACGUGCUAAUCUGCGAUAAGCGUCGGUAAGGUGAUAUGAACCGUUAUAACCGGCGAUUUCCGAAUGGGGAAACCCAGUGUGAUUCGUCACACUAUCAUUAACUGAAUCCAUAGGUUAAUGAGGCGAACCGGGGGAACUGAAACAUCUAAGUACCCCGAGGAAAAGAAAUCAACCGAGAUUCCCCCAGUAGCGGCGAGCGAACGGGGAGCAGCCCAGAGCCUGAAUCAGUGUGUGUGUUAGUGGAAGCGUCUGGAAAGGCGUGCGAUACAGGGUGACAGCCCCGUACACAAAAAUAGCACAUACUGUGAGCUCGAUGAGUAGGGCGGGACACGUGGUAUCCUGUCUGAAUAUGGGGGGACCAUCCUCCAAGGCUAAAUACUCCUGACUGACCGAUAGUGAACCAGUACCGUGAGGGAAAGGCGAAAAGAACCCCGGCGAGGGGAGUGAAAAAGAACCUGAAACCGUGUACGUACAAGCAGUGGGAGCACGCUUAGGCGUGUGACUGCGUACCUUUUGUAUAAUGGGUCAGCGACUUAUAUUCUGUAGCAAGGUUAACCGAAUAGGGGAGCCGAAGGGAAACCGAGUCUUAACUGGGCGUUAAGUUGCAGGGUAUAGACCCGAAACCCGGUGAUCUAGCCAUGGGCAGGUUGAAGGUUGGGUAACACUAACUGGAGGACCGAACCGACUAAUGUUGAAAAAUUAGCGGAUGACUUGUGGCUGGGGGUGAAAGGCCAAUCAAACCGGGAGAUAGCUGGUUCUCCCCGAAAGCUAUUUAGGUAGCGCCUCGUGAAUUCAUCUCCGGGGGUAGAGCACUGUUUCGGCAAGGGGGUCAUCCCGACUUACCAACCCGAUGCAAACUGCGAAUACCGGAGAAUGUUAUUACGGGAGACACACGGCGGGUGCUAACGUCCGUCGUGAAGAGGGAAACAACCCAGACCGCCAGCUAAGGUCCCAAAGUCAUGGUUAAGUGGGAAACGAUGUGGGAAGGCCCAGACAGCCAGGAUGUUGGCUUAGAAGCAGCCAUCAUUUAAAGAAAGCGUAAUAGCUCACUGGUCGAGUCGGCCUGCGCGGAAGAUGUAACGGGGCUAAACCAUGCACCGAAGCUGCGGCAGCGACGCUUAUGCGUUGUUGGGUAGGGGAGCGUUCUGUAAGCCUGUGAAGGUGUGCUGUGAGGUAUGCUGGAGGUAUCAGAAGUGCGAAUGCUGACAUAAGUAACGAUAAAGCGGGUGAAAAGCCCGCUCGCCGGAAGACCAAGGGUUCCUGUCCAACGUUAAUCGGGGCAGGGUGAGUCGACCCCUAAGGCGAGGCCGAAAGGCGUAGUCGAUGGGAAACAGGUUAAUAUUCCUGUACUUGGUGUUACUGCGAAGGGGGACGGAGAAGGCUAUGUUGGCCGGGCGACGGUUGUCCCGGUUUAAGCGUGUAGGCUGGUUUUCCAGGCAAAUCCGGAAAAUCAAGGCCGAGGCGUGAUGACGAGGCACUACGGUGCUGAAGCAACAAAUGCCCUGCUUCCAGGAAAAGCCUCUAAGCAUCAGGUAACAUCAAAUCGUACCCCAAACCGACACAGGUGGUCAGGUAGAGAAUACCAAGGCGCUUGAGAGAACUCGGGUGAAGGAACUAGGCAAAAUGGUGCCGUAACUUCGGGAGAAGGCACGCUGAUACGUAGGUGAAGCGACUUGCUCGUGGAGCUGAAAUCAGUCGAAGAUACCAGCUGGCUGCAACUGUUUAUUAAAAACACAGCACUGUGCAAACACGAAAGUGGACGUAUACGGUGUGACGCCUGCCCGGUGCCGGAAGGUUAAUUGAUGGGGUUAGCGCAAGCGAAGCUCUUGAUCGAAGCCCCGGUAAACGGCGGCCGUAACUAUAACGGUCCUAAGGUAGCGAAAUUCCUUGUCGGGUAAGUUCCGACCUGCACGAAUGGCGUAAUGAUGGCCAGGCUGUCUCCACCCGAGACUCAGUGAAAUUGAACUCGCUGUGAAGAUGCAGUGUACCCGCGGCAAGACGGAAAGACCCCGUGAACCUUUACUAUAGCUUGACACUGAACAUUGAGCCUUGAUGUGUAGGAUAGGUGGGAGGCUUUGAAGUGUGGACGCCAGUCUGCAUGGAGCCGACCUUGAAAUACCACCCUUUAAUGUUUGAUGUUCUAACGUGGACCCGUGAUCCGGGUUGCGGACAGUGUCUGGUGGGUAGUUUGACUGGGGCGGUCUCCUCCUAAAGAGUAACGGAGGAGCACGAAGGUUGGCUAAUCCUGGUCGGACAUCAGGAGGUUAGUGCAAUGGCAUAAGCCAGCUUGACUGCGAGCGUGACGGCGCGAGCAGGUGCGAAAGCAGGUCAUAGUGAUCCGGUGGUUCUGAAUGGAAGGGCCAUCGCUCAACGGAUAAAAGGUACUCCGGGGAUAACAGGCUGAUACCGCCCAAGAGUUCAUAUCGACGGCGGUGUUUGGCACCUCGAUGUCGGCUCAUCACAUCCUGGGGCUGAAGUAGGUCCCAAGGGUAUGGCUGUUCGCCAUUUAAAGUGGUACGCGAGCUGGGUUUAGAACGUCGUGAGACAGUUCGGUCCCUAUCUGCCGUGGGCGCUGGAGAACUGAGGGGGGCUGCUCCUAGUACGAGAGGACCGGAGUGGACGCAUCACUGGUGUUCGGGUUGUCAUGCCAAUGGCACUGCCCGGUAGCUAAAUGCGGAAGAGAUAAGUGCUGAAAGCAUCUAAGCACGAAACUUGCCCCGAGAUGAGUUCUCCCUGACCCUUUAAGGGUCCUGAAGGAACGUUGAAGACGACGACGUUGAUAGGCCGGGUGUGUAAGCGCAGCGAUGCGUUGAGCUAACCGGUACUAAUGAACCGUGAGGCUUAACCUU